UCCUUCUUGAGGCUGAUAUGUUCUGUGAC
RNAcentral lists this non-coding RNA (29 nucleotides) under Homo sapiens (human). The record is from RNAcentral. Lineage: Eukaryota; Metazoa; Chordata; Mammalia; Primates; Hominidae.